Xenopus tropicalis (tropical clawed frog) is the source of this 2525-nucleotide RNA transcript. It is a transcript of the gene named gastrula zinc finger protein XlCGF53.1-like, with no coding region annotated. Lineage: Eukaryota; Metazoa; Chordata; Amphibia; Anura; Pipidae. The transcript is spliced from 5 exons. The record is from RefSeq and is a predicted model, not a curated record.
GGUAAGGGAAAAUGCCGUACUGAAUAGAUCAUGUGUGGGUGAAAGGGCACAGUGAAUACUACGGGCAGUCUCUGUCCCGCCUCCUCCCCUAUUAGCCAAUAAGUGAGUGUGUACCGCCCCCUCCCUCACAGCAGUAACUUUGUCAGUAAGGGAGAGACGCUGUACUGAAACAAUCAGGUUUUGUUGAAAGGACAUACGGGUUACUACUGGCUGUUUCUGCCCUUUCCCCCUCUCAACCAAUCAGUAGGUGUGUCCCGCCCCCACCUGCACAGUUACAGGCGGCACAACACGUCUGUCAUUGGGAAGUUGGAGCGGCUCAGUAAGGGUUGCACAGACGCUAUCAGGUUUGGUUGGCGUAGAACACUAGCUGCUACUGGCUGUCUGUGUCCCGCCUCCUCCGUUCUUGCCAAUAAGAGUGUGUCCCGCCCCCUCCUGUAUAGCUAUAGGCUGUACGGGGGAAACCACUGGAGAGCUGGAGCGGGUCAGUAAGGGACAGAGGUUGCCUUGUGUGGUGGGACACUGGGUGCUACUGUUCCGUUACAGGCUGUGAAAUGAAUUCGUGUGCCCCUCCCUCCCACAAGGAGCCAAUGGGAAUGUGGGAGGAAGCGAGUGACCCAGUGAUGGGGAAGAAGGAUAAAAAUGAGGAGCGGAAGGAGAGAAUCCUGAAUCUCACACUGGAGAUUAUCUAUCUGCUGACUGGAGAGGGCUACGUCAUCCCUAAGAAGAAGAGCCCAACUGUGGGUUUGGGGGCCCUGCAUGCCCCUGGCUCCGUCAUACAGAAGGAAAAUGACAAGAAGAUCCUGGAACUCAUCUCCAACAUCAUCCAGCUGCUGACUGGAGAGGUUGCCUUAAGGUGUGAGGAUGUUUCCAUCUAAUUUUGCAGACAUGGGAGUAUAUAAAAGGAAACAAUCCCCUUUACAAGGAAGGAAUAAAGGAGGAGGAGCCCCAGCAGCCCCGCCCACUGGAUUGCAAAUAUGAAGGUCAGAAAACCACUGCAACAAAUCUGGAGGCAACGCCAUCUUGUAAUAAUGACCCAAGCAGGACUGCCGCUGUAGGAACAGGAUUUGUUGGAAACGGAAAUUUUACAAAUGCUGAAAUUUCUCCAGCGGAACAGCUCCCACCAGCCAAUGGGAUUAAAGAGGAGGCGGCUUCAUGUGAAGGGGGAAACCAAUCAGAUUGCAGCAUUAAUCCCCUUACAGAACAGAUACAGGGAACAGACACACCUACUCCUAUCAUGGGGUGCAGCCUGAAUAACAGCUCGGCAGAGGAUUAUAGAACAAGUGUUGUUAAAGAGGAUCCAACUUCAUGUAAAGGGGGAAACUAUAGAGACUGUGCCAUUAAUCCCCUUACAGAACAGAUACAGGGAACGGAUACACCUACUCCUAUCAUGGGGUGCAAUAGCAGCCUGAAAACUAAUUAUAUAUCAAAUGGGAUUAAAGGGGAAGUUACUUCACAUAAAGAGGGAAACCAAUCAGAUUACAGCUUUAAUCCACUUACAGAACCAAUACAAGGCAGAGAUGCCUGUGCUCCUAUCAUGGGGUACAGCCUGAAUAACAGCUUGGCAGCUCAUUAUAUACCCGUAGUUGUAAAGGAGGAGCCGGCGUCAUGUGAAAGAGACAAUCACUCAGAGUGGGGCAUUAGUAAUUUUAUUGAACAGAUACAAGGAGCAGAUGCACCCAAUCCUAUUGGAGCAUGGAACAUAAAUAGCAGUUUAAAUGGCGAAGUUCAGGCUAAACCCGCACGCACUUCUCAAACGAGGUCACGGAAGUUGUCGUAUAACUGCUACGAGUGCCACAAAUCUUUCCCUAGAAAGAACGAUCUCCUUGCCCAUCAGAGGAACCACGCGGGGAGGAAACCAUUUACCUGCGCUGAGUGUGGCCGAGGGUUUUCCUAUAGCUCCGCCCUCAGCGUUCACCGCAGACGCCACACGGGAGAGAAACCGUUCGGCUGUUCCGACUGCGGGAAAUCCUUCACCCAGAGCUCGCAGCUGACUUUGCAUCGGAGAAUCCACACGGGGGAGAGACCCUACUCCUGCUCCGAAUGUGGCAAGCGUUUCACCCACCGCACCCCGCUGAACGUGCACCAGAAAAUCCACACAGGGGAGAAACCGUAUUGUUGCUCUGAAUGUGGCAAGCGCUUCUCCGACCGCUCCAACCUUGUUGUGCACCAGAGGAGCCACUCCAGGGAAAAGCCAUUUUCCUGUGCCGACUGCGGCAAAGCUUUCACCCGACGCUCCAAUCUUAAGGAUCACCAGAGACUUCACACCGGGGAGAAACCCUAUUCCUGUCCCGAAUGCAGGAUUUGUUUUGCACAAAGCUCACAGCUUGCGUUACACCGGAGAAUUCACCAGUAGCGCAUUCCCCAAGCACUACAGUGUCUCGGCAUAAGCACCCCAUUCACCUAUUUAUUAAUCUGUUACACCAGUAAAGCCCUCUGGAUAUGAACUUAAGUGAGCAGAAACCCCUGAGGUCCAACAUGGCAGUAUUCAUUGCUUAAAGGGGAAAUAAACCCAACCGUAAAGUUGU